This 1372-nucleotide ribosomal RNA is filed under the name uncultured bacterium. RNAcentral's name for it is "bacterial SSU rRNA". It matches the Rfam family "Bacterial small subunit ribosomal RNA", at positions 28 to 1381 of the family's 1533-position model. The record is from RNAcentral.
GAUGAACGCUGGCGGCGUGCCUAAUACAUGCAAGUCGAGCGAACGGACGAGAAGCUUGCUUUUCUGAUGUUAGCGGCGGACGGGUGAGUAACACGUGGAUAACCUACCUAUAAGACUGGGAUAACUUCGGGAAACCGGAGCUAAUACCGGAUAAUAUUUUGAACCGCAUGGUUCAAAAGUGAAAGACGGUCUUGCUGUCACUUAUAGAUGGAUCCGCGCUGCAUUAGCUAGUUGGUAAGGUAACGGCUUACCAAGGCAACGAUGCAUAGCCGACCUGAGAGGGUGAUCGGCCACACUGGAACUGAGACACGGUCCAGACUCCUACGGGAGGCAGCAGUAGGGAAUCUUCCGCAAUGGGCGAAAGCCUGACGGAGCAACGCCGCGUGAGUGAUGAAGGUCUUCGGAUCGUAAAACUCUGUUAUUAGGGAAGAACAUAUGUGUAAGUAACUGUGCACAUCUUGACGGUACCUAAUCAGAAAGCCACGGCUAACUACGUGCCAGCCGCCGCGGUAAUACGUAGGUGGCAAGCGUUAUCCGGAAUUAUUGGGCGUAAAGCGCGCGUAGGCGGUUUUUUAAGUCUGAUGUGAAAGCCCACGGCUCAACCGUGGAGGGUCAUUGGAAACUGGAAAACUUGAGUGCAGAAGAGGAAAGUGGAAUUCCAUGUGUAGCGGUGAAAUGCGCAGAGAUGUGGAGGAACACCAGUGGCGAAGGCGACUUUCUGGUCUGUAACUGACGCUGAUGUGCGAAAGCGUGGGGAUCAAACAGGAUUAGAUACCCUGGUAGUCCACGCCGUAAACGAUGAGUGCUAAGUGUUAGGGGGUUUCCGCCCCUUAGUGCUGCAGCUAACGCAUUAAGCACUCCGCCUGGGGAGUACGACCGCAUGGUUGAAACUCAAAGGAAUUGACGGGGGCCCGCGCAAGCGGUGGAGCAUGUGGUUUAAUUCGAAGCAACGCGAAGAACCUUACCAAAUCUUGACAUCCUUUGACAACUCUAGAGAUAGAGCCUUCCCCUUCGGGGGACAAAGUGACAGGUGGUGCAUGGUUGUCGUCAGCUCGUGUCGUGAGAUGUUGGGUUAAGUCCCGCAACGAGCGCAACCCUUAAGCUUAGUUGCCAUCAUUAAGUUGGGCACUCUAAGUUGACUGCCGGUGACAAACCGGAGGAAGGUGGGGAUGACGUCAAAUCAUCAUGCCCCUUAUGAUUUGGGCUACACACGUGCUACAAUGGACAAUACAAAGGGCAGCGAAACCGCGAGGUCAAGCAAAUCCCAUAAAGUUGUUCUCAGUUCGGAUUGUAGUCUGCAACUCGACUACAUGAAGCUGGAAUCGCUAGUAAUCGUAGAUCAGCAUGCUACGGUGAAUACGUUCCCGGGUCU